RNAcentral lists this ribosomal RNA (405 nucleotides) under uncultured bacterium. RNAcentral's name for it is "partial 16S ribosomal RNA". It matches the Rfam family "Bacterial small subunit ribosomal RNA", at positions 30 to 526 of the family's 1533-position model. The record is from RNAcentral.
AUUGAACGCUGGCGGCAGGCCUAACACAUGCAAGUCGAGCGAGCGGCGGACGGGUGAGUAAUGUCUGGGAAACUGCCUGAUGGAGGGGGAUAACUACUGGAAACGGUAGCUAAUACCGCAUACCAUCAGAUGUGCCCAGAUGGGAUUAGCUAGUAGGUGGGGUAAUGGCUCACCUAGGCGACGAUACCUAGCUGGUCUGAGAGGAUGACCAGACACACUGGAACUGAGACACGGUCACGACUCCUACGGGAGGCAGCAGUGGGAAAUAUUGCACAAUGGGCGCAAGCCUGAGUCAGCCAUGCCGGGUGUAGGAAGAAGGCCUGCGGGUUGUAAAUUACUUUCAGCGAGGAGGCGUUACUCGCAGAAGAAGCACCGGCUAACUCCGUGCCAGCAGCCGCGGUAUAC